GGCCAGAUGCCCGAGCGGUUAAGGGGAUAGACUCGAAUCUACUCGUAGUUCGCCAUCUAUUAGGCUUUGCCUGCGCAGGUUCAAGUCCUGCUCUGGUCG
This 99-nucleotide transfer RNA is filed under the name Rhodotorula toruloides. Its description in RNAcentral is "Rhodosporidium toruloides tRNA". It matches the Rfam family "tRNA". Rfam says of the family: Transfer RNA (tRNA) molecules are approximately 80 nucleotides in length. The record is from Rfam by way of RNAcentral. RNAcentral also lists the same sequence under 1 other name. Lineage: Eukaryota; Fungi; Basidiomycota; Microbotryomycetes; Sporidiobolales; Sporidiobolaceae.